Molecule: long non-coding RNA, 1501 nt
Filed under: Helianthus annuus (common sunflower)
Lineage: Eukaryota; Viridiplantae; Streptophyta; Magnoliopsida; Asterales; Asteraceae
Description: sRNA HanXRQr2_Chr11g0498281
Source: RNAcentral
UUUUCUUACGUGUGUGUGUCGAGUUUUCAUGUGAUAUAAUAAAAGAUAUUUGACAAUAAUUUCUCCUACUAAUAUUUGAAAUACAUAUUAAGAAGCUAAUAAUUGAGAUGCUCAACGAAAAUACGUAUUAACAUUUCAUGACAUUCAACAACGGUAGAUACUUAACCUGGAAAAAAACAACAAUACGACGUCGUACCACUAGCACACCUGCAUGAGCGGCAACCCACAGAGACAAUCAUUAUUACUAAACGACGACGCUUCAAGAUGAUCAAACGGAAACCCUACCGGAAUCUUCCCACACAGGCGGUUAUUACUCAGAUCCAAAUGCCCAAUAUACUUCGCCGCCGAUAACGACUUCGGAAUCGCACCUUUCAGCCGAUUAUUACUCAAAUCAAGCACCGAAAAAUACGUCAUCGGAGUAAAAACAUCCGGUAAGUGACCUUCCAGAAGAUUCCGACUCAAAUUCAGUAAAUUUAAACCGGAAUUCCUCAACAAACUCGCCGGAAUCUCGCCGGAGAUCCGGUUACUGUCUAGAUUUAGCGUAGAUAACACCGGCAUCGAUCCGAUUUGUUCAGGAAUCGUUCCGGAAAUCAUGUUUGUUGACAGAUCUAGAUCCGCAAGCCGGUAGAUCUCGGAAAUCGACGCUGGAAUUGCUCCGGUGAGUUGAUUCCGGUUGAGUAACGCUCUGCUCAUCAUCGAUAGUUUUCCGAGAUCUGCCGGAAUCCCACCGGAGAUUUUAUUAUUGCUCAAAUCUAGAUGCAUUAAGCUUUUUAAAUUCACAAUCGAUGCCGGAAUCUCACCGGAGAGUUUGUUAUCCGCGACGUUUAACACUGUGAGUUUUUCUAACUUUCCGAUGUCGGAAGGUAGUUUUCCGGUGAGCUGGUUGCCGAUAAGGUCAAGAAUGCGGAGGUGAGGUAAGGCGGUGGUACACGCCGGAAUCCCGCCGGAGAUUCCUUUCCAGUCGGCGACGAUGAGUGACGUCAGCCGGUCUAGUUGACAUAACGAAGGGGAGAGUGAACCGGUCAUGUAACCGGACCGGCCGGUUUGGGUAAAUAUCUUAUCUUCAGACUCGCCACGUAGGAUAAUAUCGUUGACCCGGCUAUCAGUCGGGUCGCAGCUUACACCGUACCAGUUAGUGCAACAGUCGGAUCCGGUCCAUGUGUUAAAAAUGCCUAAAUAGGGCUCGGUCAGGGUGGACUUGAAGGAUAAUAAUGCUGCCCGGUCUGAUGGCGGGCAAGAGGUGACCACGGUGGAGGUUGCGGCGGCGAUGAGGACUGCCACCGCCACGUGUACGCCGGUAAAGAGAACAAACAGGCAGUGUCACACACAAGCCAAACAAAGACCCAGCAAUCAAAAUUCAAAGAUUCAGCAAUAAAAGGAACUUAAUGAAAAAGAUCUCAAGUCUCGUUGUUAUAGUCUUCAAGAUGCAUUGAAGUAUAAAGACAAAUCCGAUGUUGAUGCUGAUGAACUUUAUAUGGAGUUGAAAUUGUUUGAGACAUUU